UACGGAGGGUGCGAGCGUUAAUCGGAAUUACUGGGCGUAAAGAGUGCGUAGGUGGUUAAUUAAGUUAUCUGUGAAAUCCCUGGGCUUAACCUGGGCAGGUCAGAUGAUACUGAUUGACUCGAGUAUGGGAGAGGGUAGUGGAAUUUCCGGUGUAGCGGUGAAAAUGCGUAGAGAUCGGAAGGAACACCAGUGGCGAAGGCGGCUACCUGGCCUAAUACUGACACUGAGGCA
This 231-nucleotide ribosomal RNA is filed under the name uncultured bacterium. RNAcentral's name for it is "partial 16S ribosomal RNA". It matches the Rfam family "Bacterial small subunit ribosomal RNA", at positions 524 to 753 of the family's 1533-position model. The record is from RNAcentral.